This 490-nucleotide ribosomal RNA is filed under the name uncultured bacterium. RNAcentral describes it as "partial 16S ribosomal RNA". It matches the Rfam family "Bacterial small subunit ribosomal RNA", at positions 30 to 507 of the family's 1533-position model. The record is from RNAcentral.
AUUGAACGCUGGCGGCAGGCCUAACACAUGCAAGUCGAAUGGUAACAGGAAACAGCUUGCUGUUUCGCUGAGGAGUGGCGGACGGGUGAGUAAUGUCUGUGACACUGCCUGAUGGAGGGGGAUAACUACUGGAAACGGUAGCUAAUACCGCAUAACGUCGCAAGAUCAAAGAGGGGGACCUUCGGGCCUCUUGCCUUCAGAUGUGCCCAGAUGGGAUUAGCUAGUUGGUGGGGUAACGGCUCACCUAGGCGACGAUCCCUAGCUGGUCUGAGAGGAUGACCAGCCACACUGGAACUGAGACACGGUCCAGACUCCUACGGGAGGCAGCAGUGGGGAAUAUUGCACAAUGGGCGCAAGCCUGAUGCAGCCAUGCCGCGUGUAUGAAGAAGGCCUUCGGGUUGUAAAGUACUUUAAGCGGGGAGGAAGGGAGUAAAGUUAAUACCUUGGCUCAUUGACGUUACCCGCAGAAGAAGCACCGGCUAACUCCGUG